RNAcentral lists this ribosomal RNA (830 nucleotides) under Staphylococcus aureus. Its description in RNAcentral is "partial 23S ribosomal RNA". It matches the Rfam family "Bacterial large subunit ribosomal RNA", at positions 513 to 1351 of the family's 2925-position model. Lineage: Bacteria; Bacillati; Bacillota; Bacilli; Caryophanales; Staphylococcaceae. The record is from RNAcentral.
GGUGAAAAGCACCCCGGAAGGGGAGUGAAAUAGAACCUGAAACCGUGUGCUUACAAGUAGUCAGAGCCCGUUAAUGGGUGAUGGCGUGCCUUUUGUAGAAUGAACCGGCGAGUUACGAUUUGAUGCAAGGUUAAGCAGUAAAUGUGGAGCCGUAGCGAAAGCGAGUCUGAAUAGGGCGUUUAGUAUUUGGUCGUAGACCCGAAACCAGGUGAUCUACCCUUGGUCAGGUUGAAGUUCAGGUAACACUGAAUGGAGGACCGAACCGACUUACGUUGAAAAGUGAGCGGAUGAACUGAGGGUAGCGGAGAAAUUCCAAUCGAACCUGGAGAUAGCUGGUUCUCUCCGAAAUAGCUUUAGGGCUAGCCUCAAGUGAUGAUUAUUGGAGGUAGAGCACUGUUUGGACGAGGGGCCCCUCUCGGGUUACCGAAUUCAGACAAACUCCGAAUGCCAAUUAAUUUAACUUGGGAGUCAGAACAUGGGUGAUAAGGUCCGUGUUCGAAAGGGAAACAGCCCAGACCACCAGCUAAGGUCCCAAAAUAUAUGUUAAGUGGAAAAGGAUGUGGCGUUGCCCAGACAACUAGGAUGUUGGCUUAGAAGCAGCCAUCAUUUAAAGAGUGCGUAAUAGCUCACUAGUCGAGUGACACUGCGCCGAAAAUGUACCGGGGCUAAACAUAUUACCGAAGCUGUGGAUUGUCCUUUGGACAAUGGUAGGAGAGCGUUCUAAGGGCGUUGAAGCAUGAUCGUAAGGACAUGUGGAGCGCUUAGAAGUGAGAAUGCCGGUGUGAGUAGCGAAAGACGGGUGAGAAUCCCGUCCACCGAUUGACUAAGGU